CAAUAGCGUAUAUUAAAGUUGUUGCGGUUAAAAAGCUCGUAGUUGGAGUUCUGCCAGGUGCCGCCUGUCCGCCCCAGUGGUGAGUACGUGGCGCGCAUUUGGCCCUUUCAAGGGGAGCGUAUCUGCACUUUAUUGUGUGGUGCGGGAUCCUUGACUUUUACUUUGAGGAAAUAGGAGUGUUCCAAGCAGGCUCUCGUCGUGCACAGCUCAGCAUGGAAUAAUAGCAUUGGACCUCGAUUCUAAGCUGUUGGUUGCCAGAAGCGAGGUAAUGAUGAAGAGGGAUAGUUGGGGGCAUUCGUAUUUAACUGUCAGAGGUGAAAUUCUCGGAUUUGUUAAAGACGGACUACUGCGAAAGCAUCUGCCAGGGAUGUUUUCAUUGA
RNAcentral lists this ribosomal RNA (380 nucleotides) under uncultured eukaryote. Its description in RNAcentral is "partial 18S ribosomal RNA". It matches the Rfam family "Eukaryotic small subunit ribosomal RNA", at positions 592 to 976 of the family's 1831-position model. The record is from RNAcentral.